UCCACUCACUACUGUAAGUCACUCUGGAUAAGAGCGUCUGCUAAAUUACAAAAC
Non-coding RNA from Salmo salar (Atlantic salmon), 54 nucleotides. NCBI's taxonomy places the organism in Eukaryota, Metazoa, Chordata, Actinopteri, Salmoniformes, Salmonidae. The record is from Rfam.